Long non-coding RNA from Fukomys damarensis (Damara mole-rat), 1213 nucleotides. RefSeq lists it as uncharacterized. The transcript is spliced from 3 exons. Lineage: Eukaryota; Metazoa; Chordata; Mammalia; Rodentia; Bathyergidae. The record is from RefSeq and is a predicted model, not a curated record.
UUUUUUGCAUGCAACACGAACAUUUCUGACGAAUGCACCUAGAAAAAAGUUGCUUGUCACAAUGAUCUUUGGUGGAUAAAUGGGGACAUAUUUCCUUUCCUUGUCUGAGGAGAAACCCGUUCGUUCCUCUAUCAAGAGCGACGCCUGCUGUCCAGUUUCCUGAGGCUGCACAGCUGAUUUAACCCUCAUGCCCCACUUUGCAUUUAUUGCACAGAAUCAAAAGGUACACUGCUGAAAAAUCACCAGUAGAAUCUCAGGCACAUUUCUACUGACCCAGGAAGAGUGGUGGAUGUUCUCCUUUCUCUUGGUGGUUGGGUUUCUUGCCUGACCCUUUCCUACCACCAAGUGCUUGUGCAGCCUUCACUCACUGGAUGCUCACAGACAGGAACAGCAGACACAGUCAGACAUCCCUGGUGCUUGGCUUUAGGAAACACGGCAGCUAUGGACAAGACAACUCAGGAGUUAAUUCAUAUGUGAAAAGUUCUGCCCUGAAAUAACUCGAGGUGCUCUCAUUUUAUGAACAGUUGUUUAUAGAUGGUUAAAAACUUCACUGAAAGGUUGUGUUGAUUUAUCGGUCUUCACUGAACUCUGCAGUUUGCAGUGGUCAGGCAGAACUGGGUGGCGGGCUCUGCUCACCAGAUUUGCACGCUAUGCAUUGCCCAGAACACCUGAUCAGCAGGUUGCUGGCUAUGGGCUGAUCGAAGGAAAGCAGAACACGUCCCAGGGAUGUGAACGUCCUACUGGCAAAUCAGUAGUCUCUCCAUGUCUUCUUAGGUACCAUCCCUACUGAAAACCAUAUCAUUCUAUGGUGGUUAUGGAAAAUGCCUGAAAACAACAAAGUGCGAUGUUCCUCACUAGCAAAGCUGAAGAUAAUUCACUUGAAGCAUCACCCUGAGCUUCAUCAUUUAAUAUCAGGCCAAAGAGCUGCUAUAAUCAUAUUAAAUAAUGGUAUUUCCUCCUAGUAAGUGAACAACUGUCUACUGUCAAGGGGCCAGAAGGCCAGAAGGUGGUGUCACACUCCCAUGGGGGACCCUAGAAAAUGCCGCAUAUUACAGAAAACGCUCUGCACUGCUGGCCUGUAGAGAAGAAACUGAAAAUGCAUGUGCAGCGAUCUCUGACUGAGGUCACCCAAGCAGCAGUUUGCCAUAGUAAUAAAUGUCUCGAAGUGACUGACCACCACUCUGAGCACCUUUUGUAAUUGUAGAGGCCAAAG